GACGAACGCUGGCGGCGUGCCUAAUACAUGCAAGUCGAACGCACAGUUUAUACCGUAGCUUGCUACACCAUAGACUGUGAGUUGCGAACGGGUGAGUAACGCGUAGGUAACCUGCCUGGUAGCGGGGGAUAACUAUUGGAAACGAUAGCUAAUACCGCAUAAUAUUAAUUAUUGCAUGAUAAUUGAUUGAAAGAUGCAACUGCAUCACUACCAGAUGGACCUGCGUUGUAUUAGCUAGUAGGUGAGGUAACGGCGCACCUAGGCGACGAUACAUAGCCGACCGGAGAGGGUGAGCGGCCAGACUGGGACUGAGACACGGCACAGACGCCUACGGGAGGCAGCAGGAGGGAUUCGGCGGCAAGGGACGAAAGACUGACCGAGCAACGCCGCGGGAGUGAAGAAGGGUGUCGGAUCGGAAAGCUCCGUUGUAAGGGAAGAACGGGUGUGAGAGUGGAAAGUUCACACUGUGACGGUAUCUGACCAGAAAGGGACGGCUAACUACGUG
This 505-nucleotide ribosomal RNA is filed under the name uncultured bacterium. RNAcentral's name for it is "partial 16S ribosomal RNA". It matches the Rfam family "Bacterial small subunit ribosomal RNA", at positions 28 to 507 of the family's 1533-position model. The record is from RNAcentral.